AACGAACGCUGGCGGCAGGCCUAACACAUGCAAGUCGAGCGAGGACUUCGGUCCUAGCGGCGGACGGGUGAGUAACGCGUGGGAACGUGCCCUUUGCUUCGGAAUAGCCCUGGGAAACUGGGAGUAAUACCGGAUGAGCCCUUUGGGGGAAAGAUUUAUCGGCGAAGGAUCGGCCCGCGUUGGAUUAGGUAGUUGGUGGGGUAAUGGCCUACCAAGCCGACGAUCCAUAACUGGUUUGAGAGGAUGAUCAGCCACACUGGGACUGAGACACGGCCCAGACUCCUACGGGAGGCAGCAGUGGGGAAUCUUAGACAAUGGGGGAAACCCUGAUCUAGCCAUGCCGCGUGAGCGAUGAAGGCCUUAGGGUUGUAAAGCUCUUUCAGCUGGGAAGAUAAUGACGGUACCAGCAGAAGAAGCCCCGGCUAACUCCGUG
Molecule: ribosomal RNA, 433 nt
Filed under: uncultured bacterium
Lineage: Bacteria
Description: partial 16S ribosomal RNA
Rfam family: Bacterial small subunit ribosomal RNA
Source: RNAcentral